RNAcentral lists this ribosomal RNA (470 nucleotides) under uncultured bacterium. RNAcentral's name for it is "bacterial SSU rRNA". It matches the Rfam family "Bacterial small subunit ribosomal RNA", at positions 29 to 524 of the family's 1533-position model. The record is from RNAcentral.
AACGAACGCUGGCGGCAGGCCUAACACAUGCAAGUCGAACGCCCUAGCAAUAGGGAGUGGCGCACGGGUGCGUAACGCGUGGGAAUAUGCCCUUCACUGCGGAAUAACGUUUGGAAACGAACGCUAAUACCGCAUAAUGACUCCGGUCCAAAGAUUUAUCGGUGAAGGAUUAGCCCGCGUUAGAUUAGCUAGUUGGUGAGGUAAUGGCUCACCAAGGCGACGAUCUAUAGCUGGCCUGAGAGGAUGAUCAGCCACACUGGGACUGAGACACGGCCCAGACUCCUACGGGAGGCAGCAGUAAGGAAUAUUGGACAAUGGGCGAAAGCCUGAUCCAGCCAUGCCGCGUGAAGGAUGAAGGCGCUCAGCGUUGUAAACUUCUUUUGGACGGGAACAAUAUCCCCGACUUGUCGGGGCUUGAGGGUACCGUCAGAAUAAGCACCGGCUAACUCCGUGCCAGCAGCCGCGGUAAU